RNAcentral lists this ribosomal RNA (470 nucleotides) under uncultured bacterium. RNAcentral's name for it is "partial 16S ribosomal RNA". It matches the Rfam family "Bacterial small subunit ribosomal RNA", at positions 28 to 523 of the family's 1533-position model. The record is from RNAcentral.
GACGAACGCUGGCGGCGUGCCUAACACAUGCAAGUCGAGCGAAGAACUUCGGUUCUUAGCGGCGGACGGGUGAGUAACACGUGGGUAACCUGCCUCAAAGAGGGGGAUAGCCUCCCGAAAGGGAGAUUGAUACCGCAUAAUAUUAGAUCUUCACAUGGAGAUUUAAUUAAAGGAGUAAUCCGCUUUAAGAUGGACCCGCGGCGCAUUAGCUAGUUGGUGAGGUAACGGCUCACCAGGGCGACGAUGCGUGGCCGACCUGAGAGGGUGAUCGGCCACAUUGGAACUGAGACACGGUCCAGACUCCUACGGGAGGCAGCAGUGGGGAAUAUUGCACAAUGGGCGAAAGCCUGAUGCAGCAACGCCGCGUGAGUGAUGAAGGCCUUCGGGUUGUAAAACUCUGUCUUUGGGGACGAUAAUGACGGUACCCAAGGAGGAAGCCACGGCUAACUACGUGCCAGCAGCCGCAGUAA